UAAAAUUACUCUGCGAAGGCAUCUGGCCAGGAUGUUUUCAUUAAUCAAGAACGAAAGUUAGGGGAUCGAAGACGAUCAGAUACCGUCGUAGUCUUAACCAUAAACGAUGCCGACCAGCGAUUAGGAGACGUUGAAUACAAAACACCACCAUCGGCGCGGUCGUCCUUGGCGCGUUCGUGUUCACGCACGGGCGCGCGAGGGCGGCUUAGCCCGGUGGCACCGGUGAAUGACUCCCUAGCAGCUUGUGAGAA
This 251-nucleotide ribosomal RNA is filed under the name Acanthamoeba sp. AG-2012. RNAcentral describes it as "partial 18S ribosomal RNA". It matches the Rfam family "Eukaryotic small subunit ribosomal RNA", at positions 931 to 1096 of the family's 1831-position model. Lineage: Eukaryota; Discosea; Longamoebia; Acanthamoebidae. The record is from RNAcentral.